UGGGGAAUAUUGCGCAAUGGACGAAAGUCUGACGCAGCGACGCCGCGUGUGGGAUGAAGCUCUUCGGGGUGUAAACCACUGUUGCCCGGGAAGAACCUCCUGAUUCGUCAGGACUGACGGUACCGGGUGAGGAAGCACCGGCUAACUCUGUGCCAGCAGCCGCGGUAAUACAGAGGGUGCGAGCGUUGUCCGGAAUCACUGGGCGUAAAGGGCGCGUAGGUGGCGGGAUAAGCGUGCGGUGAAAGUCCGGGGCUCAACUCCGGAUCGGCCGUGCGUACUGUCUUGCUCGAGCGUAGUAGAGGCGGGUGGAAUUCCGGGUGUAGCGGUGGAAUGCGUAGAGAUCCGGAAGAACACCGGUGGCGAAGGCGGCCCGCUGGGCUACUGCUGACACUGAUGCGCGACAGCGUGGGGAGCAAACAGGAUUAGAUACCCCGGUAGUCC
Molecule: ribosomal RNA, 441 nt
Filed under: uncultured bacterium
Lineage: Bacteria
Description: bacterial SSU rRNA
Rfam family: Bacterial small subunit ribosomal RNA
Source: RNAcentral